Long non-coding RNA from Myripristis murdjan (pinecone soldierfish), 1774 nucleotides. RefSeq lists it as uncharacterized. Lineage: Eukaryota; Metazoa; Chordata; Actinopteri; Holocentriformes; Holocentridae. The transcript has 4 exons. The record is from RefSeq and is a predicted model, not a curated record.
ACCACUUAGCAACACUUUAACUAUCGCUUAGUCACACCUUAGCUGCCAAUUCAAAGUUAGGAUUCUUUAGACUUCCCAGCUGCUUGCAGCUUACACGCCUGGUGUACCAAUCAACCUCAAAGAAACACAGCUGCAACCACUUCCAGUAUCAACACCCUAGCAACCAUGUAGGACACCCUAUCAACUAUGACAGAUCCCUGCACGGGCACACUGGGCACGUGCCCAAGGUCCUGGCGUCCUUGGCCCUGAUUGGCUUCAAUGGAGCCCUGAUUUGACGAUUCACCAUGUCAAGUGAAUAUAGAAAACAUAGCUACAGUCUUUUGGGGUCUCUUGGCUGGAGGGCGGCUGCUGCUGUCGUCGUCGCUGUCCCUCUUCGUCUUCCUCUGGCCACGUGGAGCGGGAUGGGAGCUCCACACAAACCUGGCAUCGGGGAAAGAGCAGAAAACGGACAGCAUCCUGUGCCCCUCGGGGGUGUAGUCAGUCACCCUCCACCGACCAACCUGCUCCGGGAGCGACGGGACAAAGCAAACACUGUGUCUCCAUGUUUCUCUCAGUACCUGAAGAUCGCCGAGGAGCGGCGCUGAGCACCAGGCACAGCAGGAAUCUCUCGCGUCUUGUUUCAGAGGCCAUGCAGUCUGACUUUCCGUAAGAAGUUCAGGAGCAAAGUGAGGAGCCUGAAUGCUGACCUGCUAUUUUAGAGCUCCGCCACAGACUCCACUAGUUUUGCAUGCUAGCCAACGCAAAAGCUGUCUACAAAAACCGUCAAAGAAAAAGAAAUACCUGCUGACAGCGGUCCUGAAAUCCUCAACUCCACCAGCAGCAUUCAUCCAUGGUGUUGUUAGGGAGAGACUUCCUUUGGUGUGAGUGGCCACAGUCUGACCCAGCAUGCUGCAGCAAAUUUGCUUAUCUCAGAGGGAAGUCAACAGUGAUGUUGCAGAUGCACAAGAGUACCAAGCCUCCCUUUUGGACAACUUGAGGGACCAGAUCAAAAAUGCCUUUGACACCCAUAUUUUAAGUAAGGAGAAGCUCCAACAGCAGUCCUGGCACGAUGUGAUUAUUUUAAAGACUGCUUCACAAAAGUCUCAUCUACGCAUCUACAGGACAGACAUUCCACAUUGCAGUUAAUUACUCUACAUAACAACAGCAACAAUAAUUAUAAUAUUGAUAAUAUUAAUACUAAUACUGGGAAGCUUUUCCAAAUUGUAAUUGUAAUUGUUUAUAUUUCAGCCUGCCUCUUGCUGGCUGUAGUGGAGCUUCUACUGCACAGGAGCUUUACUUUUAAAUUGCAGUUUAUUGGGUGCCUAUCCGUUUAUUUAUCUUAUUUCCUAUUUAAUGUGUAAAUUGAACAUCAGAAUUGGGAUCCAGUCUGUUAGUGAUGGUUUGUUGGGUUGUUGUGCAGAUAAACGAUAAAGUAAACUCUUCCACUUCCCACAAACAGGGUAUGAACCUGUCCUUAUGUGUUUUUAGUAGCUUACCCUGACACCCUGUGGCCACAAUCAGAAGUGCAUUUUUCUGCCCUUCAAUCAUUAACCCACUGAUUCCUGUGUUGAGAGAUGGUGAUAGGCAAUAUUUAAUGAAAGACUGAUUUAAUCGAGCUAUGAAACCCCAGUUGUCCUUUACUAGCCAGCUUUUGUGAUCUUUUUUAAAGUUGGAUUUUUAAAAUAAGUUUGCUAUUUGUUAUCCCCAUUUUCUUGUGAAGAUUGGGAAUUUAAAUGUAUAGUUGAUUUUGGGAUGCUACAGAUUGACAUUUAUAAUUAAAGCUGUUUGCAUGUAC